GACGAACGCUGGCGGCGUGCUUAAUACAUGCAAGUCAACUGAACUUAAGAUAGCAAUAUUUUAAGGGAGGUGGCGCACGGGUGAGUAACACGUAGGUAAUCUGCCUUUAGGUCUGACACAACCCCGAGAAAUCGGGGCUAAUAUCAGAUGAUGCAGCGGCUCGACAUCGAGACAGUUGUUAGACCUUCGGGGCCUAAAGAUGAGCCUGCGUCUGAUUAGGUAGUUGGCGGAGUAAAAGCCCACCAAGCCUGCGAUCAGUAGCUGGUCUGAGAGGAUGAUCAGCCACACUGGAACUGAGACACGGUCCAGACUCCUACGGGAGGCAGCAGUAAGGAAUAUUGCUCAAUGGCCGAAAGGCUGAAGCAGCAACGCCGCGUGGAGGAUGAAAUACUUUUGUAUGUAAACUCCUGUAAGAAGGGAAAAUAUUCCGAUUUAUCGGGAUUGAUUGUACCUUCAGAGUAAGCCCGGCUAACUACGUGCC
Molecule: ribosomal RNA, 481 nt
Filed under: uncultured bacterium
Lineage: Bacteria
Description: bacterial SSU rRNA
Rfam family: Bacterial small subunit ribosomal RNA
Source: RNAcentral